CUGGCUCAGAACGAACGCUGGCGGCAGGCUUAACACAUGCAAGUCGAACGCACCGCAAGGUGAGUGGCAGACGGGUGAGUAACACGUGGGGAUCUGCCCAAUGGUACGGAAUAGCUCCGGGAAACUGGAAUUAAUACCGUAUGAGCCCGCAAGGGGAAAGAUUUAUCGCCAUUGGAUGAACCCGCGUCGGAUUAGCUAGUUGGUGUGGUAAAGGCGCACCAAGGCGACGAUCCGUAGCUGGUCUGAGAGGAUGAUCAGCCACACUGGGACUGAGACACGGCCCAGACUCCUACGGGAGGCAGCAGUGGGGAAUAUUGGACAAUGGGCGCAAGCCUGAAUCCAGCCAUGCCGCGUGAGUGAUGAAGGCCUUAGGGUUGUAAAGCUCUUUCGCCGACGAAGAUAAUGACGGUAGUCGGAGAAGAAGCCCCGGCUAACUUCGUGCCAGCCGCAGC
RNAcentral lists this ribosomal RNA (452 nucleotides) under uncultured bacterium. RNAcentral's name for it is "bacterial SSU rRNA". It matches the Rfam family "Bacterial small subunit ribosomal RNA", at positions 19 to 518 of the family's 1533-position model. The record is from RNAcentral.